UAAAUUAAUAUCCGUCUUCGUGGGGGUUGCUGCGGAGGUUGCUGCGGAGGUUGCGGCGGAGGUUGCGGCGGCUGGGGUAGCGGCAUGGGCGGAGGCAUGGGCGGAGGCGGAAGUCCCUGAAGCUGGGCAGCUGUAAAGUCCUGCAUGUACUGGAACAUCUGCUGCUGCUGGGCCUGCUGGAUGGCAUGUAUCUCGGCAACAUAGGCUGCCUGCGUAGCAUUAUAGGCUGCCUGCGAGGCAUUAUAGGCAGCCUGAGUAGCUUGCUGUUCUCGUAGUCUCUGAACUUCCGACUCUAGCUGAGUCGUCCUGGUGAUCGUGGACGUGGUCCUGCUGCUGGUCGAUGCUGCCUUUCUUUGAAAUCCUGGAGUGGUCUUCAGGACCCCCUCGCCUUUCUUUCCUAGACCCCGGCAGUAGAAGUUGUUUGCUCUCGGUGGGAAGGCUGUGCCCAUGAUCCUCGCCCCAAUCGUCGGAUCCGAAGUGUCGAUCCGGGACAUGGCUUCGGACAUCUCUUCCUCCUGCGUGUCCGGCCAUGUCUCCCUCACUAUAGCACUCAUCACCUCGUCACUAGCCUCCCUCACCUUCGCCUAAUUGGAUAGGAAAAAAAUAAUUNNNNNNN
This 616-nucleotide long non-coding RNA is filed under the name Fragaria vesca (wild strawberry). RNAcentral's name for it is "long non-coding RNA (FVES_LNC003270)". The record is from RNAcentral. Lineage: Eukaryota; Viridiplantae; Streptophyta; Magnoliopsida; Rosales; Rosaceae.